GCCCCCGUAGCGCAGCGGUAGAGCGGGAGACGAUAUCUCCGGGCCGCUGGUUCGAACCCAGCCGGGGGCA
This 70-nucleotide transfer RNA is filed under the name Phytophthora infestans (potato late blight agent). RNAcentral's name for it is "tRNA-Ile". It matches the Rfam family "tRNA". Rfam says of the family: Transfer RNA (tRNA) molecules are approximately 80 nucleotides in length. Their secondary structure includes four short double-helical elements and three loops (D, anti-codon, and T loops). The record is from RNAcentral. RNAcentral also lists the same sequence under 1 other name. Lineage: Eukaryota; Oomycota; Peronosporomycetes; Peronosporales; Peronosporaceae.